Molecule: ribosomal RNA, 898 nt
Filed under: Chloroflexota bacterium
Lineage: Bacteria; Bacillati; Chloroflexota
Description: bacterial SSU rRNA
Rfam family: Bacterial small subunit ribosomal RNA
Source: RNAcentral
CCAAUGGAGAGUUUGAUCCUGGCUCAGGAUAAACGCUGGCGGCGUGCCUUACGCAUGCAAGUCGAACGAAGCCCCCCGCUUCGGUGAGGGAGACUGAGUGGCAAACGGCUGAGUAACGCGUAGGUGAUCUGUCCCGAGGAGGGGAACAACCCGUGGAAACGCGGGCUAAUGCCCCAUACGCCCACCGGAUCGGACCGGUGGGGAAAUGUUCCGGCGCCUUGGGAGGAGCCUGCGUCCGAUUAGCUAGUUGGUGGGGUAACGGCCUACCAAGGCGACGAUCGGUAGCUGGUCUGAGAGGAUGAUCAGCCAGACUGGGACUGAGACACGGCCCAGACUCCUACGGGAGGCAGCAGCGAGGAAUCUUGCGCAAUGGGCGAAAGCCUGACGCAGCAACGCCGCGUGGGUGAUGAAGGCCUUCGGGUUGUAAAUCCCUUUUGCCGGGGAAGAACUUUGACGGUACCCGGCGAAUAAGCCACGGCUAACUACGUGCCAGCAGCCGCGGUAAGACGUAGGUGGCGAGCGUUAUCCGGAUUUACUGGGCGUAAAGCGUACGUAGGCGGCGCCGAAAGUCUGCCGUGAAAUCUCCCGGCUCAACCGGGAGCGGUCGGUGGAAACUUCGAUGCUGGAGGGGCGUAGAGGCAAGCGGAAUUCCCGGAGUAGUGGUGGAAUGCGUAGAUACCGGGAGGAACACCAGUGGCGCAAGCGGCUUGCCAGGCGCAUCCUGACGCUGAGGUACGAAAGCGUGGGUAGCGAACCGGAUUAGAUACCCGGGUAGUCCACGCCGUAAACGAUGGAUGCUAGUCGUGGGGGGUAUCGACCCCCUCUGUGACGCAGCUAACGCAAUAAGCAUCCCGCCUGGGGAGUACGGCCGCAAGGCUAAAACUCAAAGGAAUUGACG